CUCCGUCUACACAAAGCAUAUGUCUGUACUCGUCAUCUCCAAAAUCUGCUAUGGUUUUAGAUUUCUUCUCCCAUGGAUUCCAUACCACUGCCAUAGGUUAAUGUACAAUGUUUAAAGAUAAUCAGAUGCAGUAACUAGAUUACUAAACUGAACAAUCAGAUGUUUUGACACCAGACUACCCAAAUCUAAGAAGUGAUGAAUGAAAUGAACCACUGUCAUAGUUUAAUGUACAAUGUUUAAGGAUAAUCGGAUGCAGUAACUAGAUUACUAAACUGAACAUGUCAGAUGUUUUAACACCAGACUACCCAAAUCUAAGACGAAGUGAUGAAUGAAAUGAAUAUACGGCAUGCCAAGACUCUAUUAGACAUUAGUUACCAGCUUCAACACCUUUAUCCUACGUAACUAUUUAGUUACAAAGUCAACUUCAGGAAGUGAUGCUUAUCAGUUGCUUUCAAUCAAUUAAGCAAUAUGGGCUCUGGAGUUUAUAUCAAUAGUCAUAGUAACAUCCUUCCACGAAGGGAUUAUAUAUACAGAAAUUCUGCGUUGUUGCAUGAAAAAUCACCUGAGGGCUCUCUAUAAUGGAUCUCUUCUCCUCUCUGAUCUUUGUUUCUCUUCAUUUUCAGUUUUUCAGCUUUUAUUUUCUUAUUAAAAAAAUCAUCAAAUACUUGGCAAUUAAUGACAAUCCUCCCAUAGUUUAGGUGGCGACUAUGUUCAUAUGCUUCAGAAAUAUUUUUGAACAUCCCACGUUGUCUUGAGUGCUGCUACUUAUUUAUUUAUUUUUGGCUUGGUUUUAUAGCACAUAAGUAAAUGCAUAAGGACUGUCAAGCUCAC
Molecule: long non-coding RNA, 831 nt
Filed under: Nicotiana benthamiana
Lineage: Eukaryota; Viridiplantae; Streptophyta; Magnoliopsida; Solanales; Solanaceae
Description: long non-coding RNA (NBEN_LNC032244)
Source: RNAcentral